Long non-coding RNA from Ceratosolen solmsi marchali, 471 nucleotides. RefSeq lists it as uncharacterized. Lineage: Eukaryota; Metazoa; Arthropoda; Insecta; Hymenoptera; Agaonidae. The record is from RefSeq and is a predicted model, not a curated record. The transcript is spliced from 3 exons.
AUUGCGUAGCUUAUUAUUUGCUUUUACUUUUCUCUGAUUAAGGCGGAAAAAUAAAUUAAAUUGCCUCGGAGUUAAUUCAAGCUCGCGUCUCUUAGUUUGGCUUCUACGACGAACUGUAUCAUACACGUGCUCAUGCGAAUUUAUUGGGAAAUUCAAUUUUCAUUUCCUGAUGUGUCGAGAAGAGCAUAACACUUGCACAUUUCUUCGGUAAUUCAACGACAUACGUGAUGGAAUUCAAACCAAACAAGUUUGCUGACUGAAUGAAAGUUUGGAUGCCGUUGGAAACUCUUGACUGACGUAUUUAAGCAAGAAGUUUUGCUAUACUCGCAAGGAAAAGAAACAAGAGGAAGAGAAAGAACACCGGUAGUCUCAAAAAUAUUGACAGCCAUUCGUUUCCUGAUGGUGAGCAGCAGGAUGUUUCAAAUCAGGAAGAAAGACCGAGUGUGCGAUGCAGUAAGUUUAGAGAGAGAG